RNAcentral lists this ribosomal RNA (493 nucleotides) under uncultured bacterium. RNAcentral's name for it is "partial 16S ribosomal RNA". It matches the Rfam family "Bacterial small subunit ribosomal RNA", at positions 28 to 523 of the family's 1533-position model. The record is from RNAcentral.
GAUUAACGCUGGCGGCGUGCAUAACACAUGCAAGUCGAACGAUGAAACUCAUUAGAUUUCUUCGGAAUGACAAUGAAUGGAUUAGUGGCGAACGGGUGAGUAACACGUGAGUAACCUGCCUUAGAGAAGGGGAUAGCCUUUGGAAACGAAGAAUAAUACCCUAUGAAAUGAUAAUAUCGCAUGAUAGUAUCAUCAAAGAAUUAUCGCUCUAAGAUGGACUUGCGCCUGAUUAGCUAGUUGGUGGAGUAACAGCCCACCAAGGCAACGAUCAGUAGCCGGCUUGAGAGAGUGUACGGCCACAUUGGGACUGAGACACGGCCCAGACUCCUACGGGAGGCAGCAGUGGGGAAUUUUGCACAAUGGGGGAAACCCUGAUGCAGCGACGCCGCGUGAUUUAGAAGGCCUUCGGGUUGUAAAAAUCUUUUGUAUAGGAAGAAAAUGACAGUACUAUACGAAUAAGGUCCGGCUAAUUACGUGCCAGCCGCCGCCGUAA